CCUACGGGAGGCAGCAGUGAGGAAUAUUGGUCAAUGGACGAGAGUCUGAACCAGCCAAGUAGCGUGAAGGAUGACUGCCCUAUGGGUUGUAAACUUCUUUUAUCUGGGAAUAAAACAGGGUAUGCAUACCCUCUUGUAUGUACCACAUGAAUAAGGAUCGGCUAACUCCGUGCCAGCAGCCGCGGUAAUACGGAGGAUCCGAGCGUUAUCCGGAUUUAUUGGGUUUAAAGGGAGCGUAGGUGGAUUGUUAAGUCAGGUGUGAAAGUUUGCGGCUCAACCGUAAAAUUGCAGUUGAAACUGGCAGGCUUGAGUACAGUAGAGGUGGGCGGAAUUCGUGGGGUAGCGGUGAAAUGCUUAGAUAUCACGAAGAACUCCGAUUGCGAAGGCAGCUCACUGGACUGCAACUGACACUGAUGCUCGAAAGUGUGGGUAUCAAACAGGAUUAGAUACCCUUGUAGUC
This 460-nucleotide ribosomal RNA is filed under the name uncultured bacterium. RNAcentral's name for it is "partial 16S ribosomal RNA". It matches the Rfam family "Bacterial small subunit ribosomal RNA", at positions 338 to 795 of the family's 1533-position model. The record is from RNAcentral.